RNAcentral lists this transfer-messenger RNA (355 nucleotides) under Phycisphaerae bacterium. It matches the Rfam family "transfer-messenger RNA". Rfam says of the family: Bacterial tmRNA, also known as 10Sa RNA or SsrA, is named for its dual tRNA and mRNA-like properties. Its role is to liberate the mRNA from a stalled ribosome. The record is from RNAcentral. Lineage: Bacteria; Pseudomonadati; Planctomycetota; Phycisphaerae.
GGGGGCGAACUGGAUUCGACCGGACGAUCUGAGGUGUCGGUGGCGUGCCCAGGUUCUCAGGCGGCCUGGUUAAACACCUGAGACUAAUUUUACUUGCCAAUCCUAUGUUGGCAAUGGCCGCCUAAUCAGGCGACCCGUCCGGUGGGCCUUGCCCGCGAGGCCCGCCAGGACGCAGACAGCGGGCUUACCGGAUGACAGUGGCCUGGUUAGCCAUUCGGGAAAUUCCGUCAGGCUGGGCCUGAUGAACCGUGUCGCUUGCGGGUCUGAGGGCCGAGAUUAAAACAAGCGACUACGCACGUAGAAGCCGGCACUGAAACGUCACGGGACGCGGGUUCGAUUCCCGCCGCCUCCAGUG